CUUUGAGACCACCCCAGCAGGUCUGGAGAAUCUUAUUGCAGUCUGGGGAAGGGAGGAGUCUAUGCUGCCCACUCUGCCUUGGAUGGUGGGGUGUUCAAUAAUAAAAGGUCCAGCUGCCGGGACAAUACUCAGCCAUGAUCAGGACUGCCCAGCUUCUGGCCUAGACGAAGCUUGCUUCUGGAUGGUUGAGCCACCUGGCAUGAGAAUGAAGAGAAAAGGGGACGUUAUGAGAUCAAGAGUGACCACAGUCCAGGAGUUAAGAAACUGGUCACAGUUGAAUCUUCAGGAAGAGACUUAUGAAGAGGAUGUAACAAUUGUCCAUUUUCUUGUUGGGGAGCCAGGAAAAUUCCAUUAGGGAAUUUGCAGCGGUUCCAGUAACCUGGAGCAUCUUCUGCAUUGAAUUGCAGAUGCUAGCUGAUUUGCUAUUGAAUAGCAUGGCCUCAGUGGGGAAUGUCCCCUAGUUUGCAUUUCUACAGAACUAAAUAUUUGAAUAGGCCUGCUCCAGCGCAGAGGGUCGGGUGUGUAAGUAACAAGUGAGGACAGAGAGAGUUAGGAGGGAUCAAACAGAGGGGUCUAACAGAGAGAGAAAUGGCCUCAUGGUCAGGGAAGCAUGGUUAGGAAACAGCCAGUGAAGGGACCAGCUCCCCUUUCGGCAGCCGUAACGGCUGAACACGUGCUCUAUGGCCUUGUCCUAGACACUAGAAAGUCAGAUGCCUGCCUCGUGACAAGGAACCAAUCAGAAGUUAGCUGGUGGUACUCUGGGUGUACUUUACAGACAAGCACACAGCAAUGACGCAGAGCAUAGCAACCACCCUGGGAGGG
Molecule: long non-coding RNA, 822 nt
Filed under: Cricetulus griseus (Chinese hamster)
Lineage: Eukaryota; Metazoa; Chordata; Mammalia; Rodentia; Cricetidae
Description: lncRNA (ENSCGRG00015009994.2)
Source: RNAcentral